Molecule: ribosomal RNA, 636 nt
Filed under: uncultured fungus
Lineage: Eukaryota; Fungi
Description: eukaryotic LSU rRNA
Rfam family: 5.8S ribosomal RNA (bases 247-400)
Source: RNAcentral
AAGUCGUAACAAGGUUUCCGUAGGUGAACCUGCGGAAGGAUCAUUACAGUAUUCUUUUUGCCAGCGCUUAAUUGCGCGGCGAAAAAACCUUACACACAGUGUUUUUUGUUAUUACAAGAACUUUUGCUUUGGUCUGGACUAGAAAUAGUUUGGGCCAGAGGUUUACUAAACUAAACUUCAAUAUUUAUAUUGAAUUGUUAUUUAUUUUAAUUGUCAAUUUGUUGAUUAAAUUCAAAAAAUCUUCAAAACUUUCAACAACGGAUCUCUUGGUUCUCGCAUCGAUGAAGGACGCAGCGAAAUGCGAUAAGUAAUAUGAAUUGCAGAUUUUCGUGAAUCAUCGAAUCUUUGAACGCACAUUGCGCCCUCUGGUAUUCCAGAGGGCAUGCCUGUUUGAGCGUCAUUUCUCUCUCAAACCUUCGGGUUUGGUAUUGAGUGAUACUCUUAGUCGAACUAGGCGUUUGCUUGAAAUGUAUUGGCAUGAGUGGUGCUGGAUAGUGCUAUAUGACUUUCAAUGUAUUAGGUUUAUCCAACUCGUUGAAUAGUUUAAUGGUAUAUUUCUCGGUAUUCUAGGCUCGGCCUUACAAUAUAACAAACAAGUUUGACCUCAAAUCAGGUAGGACUACCCGCUGAACUUAA